RNAcentral lists this ribosomal RNA (771 nucleotides) under Lathromeris sp. D0800. RNAcentral's name for it is "SSU rRNA". It matches the Rfam family "Eukaryotic small subunit ribosomal RNA", at positions 477 to 1206 of the family's 1831-position model. The record is from RNAcentral. Lineage: Eukaryota; Metazoa; Arthropoda; Insecta; Hymenoptera; Trichogrammatidae.
UAACGAUACGGGACUCAUCCGAGGCCCCGUAAUCGGAAUGAGUACACUUUAAAUCCUUUAACGAGGACCCAUUGGAGGGCAAGUCUGGUGCCAGCAGCCGCGGUAAUUCCAGCUCCAAUAGCGUAUAUUAAAGUUGUUGCGGUUAAAAAGCUCGUAGUUGAAUUUGUGUGCCACGCUGUCGGUUCAUCGCUCGCGAUGUUUAACUGACAUGAUUGUGGUACGUCCUACCGGUGGGCUUAGCUCCUCUCGAGGGGCGGUCCAGCUAAUAUCCCAUCGCGGUGCUCUUUAUCGAGUGUCGAGGUGGGCCGGUACGUUUACUUUGAACAAAUUAGAGUGCUCAAAGCAGGCUAUGCUCGCCUGAAUACAUGUGCAUGGAAUAAUGGAAUAGGACCUCGGUUCUAUUUUGUUGGUUUUCGGAACCCCGAGGUAAUGAUUAAUAGGGACAGAUGGGGGCAUUCGUAUUGCGACGUUAGAGGUGAAAUUCUUGGAUCGUCGCAAGACGAACAGAAGCGAAAGCAUUUGCCAAAAAUGUUUUCAUUAAUCAAGAACGAAAGUUAGAGGUUCGAAGGCGAUCAGAUACCGCCCUAGUUCUAACCAUAAACGAUGCCAGCUAGCGAUCCGCCGAAGUUCCUCCGAUGACUCGGCGGGCAGCUUCCGGGAAACCAAAGCUUUUGGGUUCCGGGGGAAGUAUGGUUGCAAAGCUGAAACUUAAAGGAAUUGACGGAAGGGCACCACCAGGAGUGGAGCCUGCGGCUUAAUUUGACUCAACAC